RNAcentral lists this ribosomal RNA (1003 nucleotides) under Listeria monocytogenes. RNAcentral describes it as "partial 23S ribosomal RNA". It matches the Rfam family "Bacterial large subunit ribosomal RNA", at positions 1925 to 2925 of the family's 2925-position model. Lineage: Bacteria; Bacillati; Bacillota; Bacilli; Caryophanales; Listeriaceae. The record is from RNAcentral.
AAACGGCGGCCGUAACUAUAACGGUCCUAAGGUAGCGAAAUUCCUUGUCGGGUAAGUUCCGACCCGCACGAAAGGCGCAACGAUCUGGGCACUGUCUCAACGAGAGACUCGGUGAAAUUAUAGUACCUGUGAAGAUGCAGGUUACCCGCGACAGGACGGAAAGACCCCGUGGAGCUUUACUGCAACCUGAUAUGGAAUGUUUGUACCGCUUGUACAGGAUAGGUAGGAGCCGAAGAGACGUGUGCGCUAGCAUACGAGGAGGCAAUGGUGGGAUACUACCCUGGCUGUAUGACCAUUCUAACCCGCCACGCUUAGCGCGUGGGGAGACAGUGUCAGGUGGGCAGUUUGACUGGGGCGGUCGCCUCCUAAAGAGUAACGGAGGCGCCCAAAGGUUCCCUCAGAAUGGAUGGAAAUCAUUCGCAGAGUGUAAAGGCACAAGGGAGCUUGACUGCGAGACUGACAAGUCGAGCAGGGACGAAAGUCGGGCUUAGUGAUCCGGUGGUUCCGCAUGGAAGGGCCAUCGCUCAACGGAUAAAAGCUACCCCGGGGAUAACAGGCUUAUCUCCCCCAAGAGUCCACAUCGACGGGGAGGUUUGGCACCUCGAUGUCGGCUCGUCGCAUCCUGGGGCUGUAGUCGGUCCCAAGGGUUGGGCUGUUCGCCCAUUAAAGCGGCACGCGAGCUGGGUUCAGAACGUCGUGAGACAGUUCGGUCCCUAUCCGUCGCGGGCGCAGGAAAUUUGAGAGGAGCUGUCCUUAGUACGAGAGGACCGGGAUGGACACACCGCUGGUGUACCAGUUGUUCCGCCAGGAGCAUCGCUGGGUAGCUAUGUGUGGCAGGGAUAAACGCUGAAAGCAUCUAAGCGUGAAGCCCCCCUCAAGAUGAGAUUUCCCAUUUCUUCGGAAAGUAAGAUCCCUGAAAGAUGAUCAGGUAGAUAGGUUUGGAGUGGAAGUGUAGCGAUACAUGGAGCGGACAAAUACUAAUCGAUCGAGGACUUAACCAAAA